AGUGAACGCUGGCGGUAGGCCUAACACAUGCAAGUCGAACGGCAGCACAGUAAGAGCUUGCUCUUACGGGUGGCGAGUGGCGGACGGGUGAGGAAUACAUCGGAAUCUACUUUUUCGUGGGGGAUAACGUAGGGAAACUUACGCUAAUACCGCAUACGACCUACGGGUGAAAGCAGGGGAUCUUCGGACCUUGCGCGAUUGAAUGAGCCGAUGUCGGAUUAGCUAGUUGGCGGGGUAAAGGCCCACCAAGGCGACGAUCCGUAGCUGGUCUGAGAGGAUGAUCAGCCACACUGGAACUGAGACACGGUCCAGACUCCUACGGGAGGCAGCAGUGGGGAAUAUUGGACAAUGGGCGCAAGCCUGAUCCAGCCAUACCGCGUGGGUGAAGAAGGCCUUCGGGUUGUAAAGCCCUUUUGUUGGGAAAGAAAAGCAGCAGGUUAAUACCCCGCUGUUCUGACGGUACCCAAAGAAUAAGCACCGGCAACUUCGUG
Molecule: ribosomal RNA, 491 nt
Filed under: uncultured bacterium
Lineage: Bacteria
Description: partial 16S ribosomal RNA
Rfam family: Bacterial small subunit ribosomal RNA
Source: RNAcentral